This 305-nucleotide ribosomal RNA is filed under the name uncultured bacterium. Its description in RNAcentral is "bacterial SSU rRNA". It matches the Rfam family "Bacterial small subunit ribosomal RNA", at positions 335 to 635 of the family's 1533-position model. The record is from RNAcentral.
AGUCCUACGGGACGCAGCAGUGAGGAAUAUUGGUCAAUGGACGCAAGUCUGAACCAGCCAAGUAGCGUGCAGGAUGACGGCCCUCCGGGUUGUAAACUGCUUUUAGUUGGGAAUAAAAGGGGGCUCGUGAGCCCCGUAUUGUAUGUACCAUCAGAAAAAGGACCGGCUAAUUCCGUGCCAGCAGCCGCGGUAAUACGGAAGGUCCGGGCGUUAUCCGGAUUUAUUGGGUUUAAAGGGUGCGUAGGCGGAUUGAUAAGUUAGAGGUGAAAUGUCCGAGCUUAACUCGGGAACUGCCUCUAAUACUG